RNAcentral lists this long non-coding RNA (434 nucleotides) under Homo sapiens (human). RNAcentral describes it as "non-protein coding lnc-WRB-4:1". The record is from RNAcentral. Lineage: Eukaryota; Metazoa; Chordata; Mammalia; Primates; Hominidae.
AUGUAACUUCAUUGAGAACCAGACCGCAGAGUUCAAGGAGGCCUUCCAGCUGUUUGACUGAAUGGGUGAUGGCAAGGCCCUUACAGCCAGUAUGGGGACAUGACGAGGGCCUUGGGCCAGAGCCCCACCAAUGCCGAGGUGCUCCAGGUCCUGGGGGAACCUCAGGAGUGAUGAGAUGAAUGUGAAGGUGCUGGACUUUGAGCACUUCCUGCCCAUGCUGCAGACUGUGGCCAGGAACAAGGACUAGGGUGCCUAGUUUUAGGAUUAUGUCCGAGUCCAAGGAUUAUAUGGAAGGUCUUUGGGUGUUUGACAAGGAAGAGAAGGGCACCAUCAUGGGCGCUGAAAUCCGGCAAGUCCUUGUCAUACUGGGUGGGAAGAUGACAGAGGCAGAAGUAGAGAUGCUGGCGGCCGGGCAUGAGGACAGCAAUGGUUGU